Molecule: RNA transcript, 1858 nt
Organism: Portunus trituberculatus (swimming crab)
Lineage: Eukaryota; Metazoa; Arthropoda; Malacostraca; Decapoda; Portunidae
Exons: 7
Source: RefSeq, a predicted model, not a curated record
AGUAUUGUUGUUAGGUAUUGUUGGGUUCUUUAUUGUUGUAUUUAUUUCUGUUAUAUGUAUGUGUAUGUCAGUUUCAUGUUUUAUCUGUGUAUGUCAAUUUCAUGUUGCACACGCACACAGUUAAUCAGAGCCCAAUUUAAGACUAUGUUCAUCAUUAUUACAGUUUCGAAUGUCAUCACCGCACACACCUGGUACCUGGACGCUGCUGAUUCGAUAACUGCCGCCGCCGAACGCAAUGUCGUCGUCCCUCCACUCCUGUAUCAAGUCGCCGGAAAGCUCCAAUAGCUGAAAGAUGCGGCAGAAUUCAGAAAACCUGUUAUCAGAGACGGACCUACCAGCCACUCCUCCCCCCCCCCUAGCCUUCCCACGAGGCUCCCCGAGAUGUGCAUGAGCGGAGAGGGAGAUUUAGCCGGGCCUCUCUCUUGAAGAAGCCUCGCCUCGCUUCGCAUCACGUCCCAGAUUGACACCACCCGGCAAGGCGCAGGACCAGGCCAGGAGAUCCCGGGGCUGGGUGCGGAUGGCGGCCUUUGUGUACUCCCUCAGGAUGCCGGGCAGAGGCGCCGGCACCCUCGUGUCCACCACUCCCUCCGCCACCACCACCAUCUUGGACUAUAACAAAGAGGCUGUGUGUGGGCUCUUGUGAUACCGUGAAUUUUCCCACGAGGCCUGGGUGGCGCGGGUGCUGUCCUGGCAGCACGUUGCUGGAUGUUACGGAGGUCAUCACCACCAACACCUCUCCGCCACACAACACGACCCUGCACCGCUGCACUCAUACAUUAGCAGAGUGUACAAGGGAGAAGGUCGGGUCGUGCCGGUCAUCCCCUAAACAUGGAGGAAAAGUCUCGGGCGUCAGUCAGGAGAUCAAGCGCGUCCCACCACAAGUCUGGUUCAUGCAAGGGCGAAAUAGACUACGAGAUGUAGUGACAGACUGGGUGAAGAGUGAGAGGAGUUAGGCAGGGUUGCAUACUGUCACCAAUCCCUUUUUAGCUUAUACACAGAGGAACUAGCUGCCAGAAUGAGAAAAAUGAAUGCAGGAGUGAAUGUGGAGAAUGGUGUGGCCGUUACAUGGGCCUGACUCAGCAGUCCCAAGUCACUUGUAACAUAAAGACCGACGUCACAACAUCACUGUACACUACCAGCAUCUUUGCACACUACCGAACUUCUGAGAGCUAUAUCGGUUCCAUCCCAGUUAACUCCUCAGCCACAGCGGUGCUCAAGUCCGACCUUUACCCGCCGAAGCGUCUGAAGUCCCGGCAUCCUGUUGCUCCUCAGCUGUGUGUGAUAGCAGUCCAUCUCAGGUCUGCCUCUUCAGAAGAGGACACAGACUGAGGCGUGCGGUCCGACACGUGUAGGGGCUGUGCGGUUUCAAGUCGUUCAUUGGAGGCGUAGGUCAUCAGGAAUUGUUCGGUCUUGGUGUUAAAGGUUCUGCUACUACUGGAGGGAGAACCAAACCAGCGUGUCCAAACAACCCCCGACUUGGAGCCAGGAUACUGGCUUUUCUUGCGCCGGAAGACGGUCUCGCUGCACCUUCCCGGAAAACUGAACCCUACCUCGAACCAGCUCUCCUAGGGAGAGGGGGGACACACUGGCUCGCUCUACCUUCCAUGGAGGAAUUGGUUCCUACCUCGCACCAGGUCAUCCAGGCAGGGAGGACACUGCCUCGCUCCACCUUCCCCAGAGGAACUGAACCCUGCCUCGAACCAGCUCCUCCAGGGAGGGUGGGGCGGACACUGGCUCGCUACACCUUCCACGGAGGAAUUGGACCCUACCUCGCACCAUCUCCAGGAAGGGAGGACACUGCCUCGCUCCACCUUCCCCAGAGGAACUGAACCCUACCUUGAACCAGCUCCUCCAGGAA